UCGAUGCCUUACAUGCAGACCAACUCGUGAAUCUGUUUGAAUACACGGGGAUGGCUCGGGGUGUUCGGCACCACGGCCUCCCUUUGGGUAGGAGGGGCGCGCAUUGCGUUCCCCUCCUUCCCGAACACAAACCCCGGCGCUGAAUGCGCCAAGGAACAAAAAUUUGAUCAGUGCGCCCCGUCGGCCCGGAGACGGUGCUCCGGCGGUGGUGCCUUGWUCACAUGAUAC
RNAcentral lists this unclassified non-coding RNA (228 nucleotides) under Oxytropis campestris. Lineage: Eukaryota; Viridiplantae; Streptophyta; Magnoliopsida; Fabales; Fabaceae. The record is from RNAcentral.